This 166-nucleotide ribosomal RNA is filed under the name uncultured bacterium. RNAcentral describes it as "partial 16S rRNA". It matches the Rfam family "Bacterial small subunit ribosomal RNA", at positions 355 to 511 of the family's 1533-position model. The record is from RNAcentral.
UAGGGAAGUCUUCCACAAUGGGCGCAAGCCUGAUGGAGCAACACCGCGUGAGUGAAGAAGGGUUUCGGCUCGUAAAGCUCUGUUGUUAAAAGAAGAACACGUAUGAGAGUAACUGUUCAUACGUUGACGGUAUUUAACCAGAAAGGAACGGCUAAAUACGUGCCAG